RNAcentral lists this ribosomal RNA (428 nucleotides) under Acidobacteriota bacterium. RNAcentral's name for it is "Acidobacteria bacterium partial 16S ribosomal RNA". It matches the Rfam family "Bacterial small subunit ribosomal RNA", at positions 355 to 776 of the family's 1533-position model. Lineage: Bacteria; Pseudomonadati; Acidobacteriota. The record is from RNAcentral.
UGGGGAAUUUUGGACUAUGGGGGAACCCUGAUCCAGCCAUCCCGCGUGUGCGAUGAAGGCCUUCGGGUUGUAAAGCACUUUUGGCAGGAAAGAAACGUCAUGGGUUAAUACCCCGUGAAACUGACGGUACCUGCAGAAUAAGCACCGGCUAACUACGUGCCAGCAGCCGCGGUAAUACGUAGGGUGCAAGCGUUAAUCGGAAUUACUGGGCGUAAAGCGUGCGCAGGCGGUUCGGAAAGAAAGAUGUGAAAUCCCAGAGCUCAACUUUGGAACUGCAUUUUUAACUACCGGGCUAGAGUGUGUCAGAGGGAGGUGGAAUUCCGAGUGUAGCAGUGAGAUGCGUAGAUAUGCGGAGGAACACCGAUGGCGAAGGCAGCCUCCUGGGAUAACACUGACGCUCAUGCACGAAAGCGUGGGGAGCAAACAGG